UUCAGUGAUGAAACUGCGCUAUAGGAAGUGCCGUCUGAUGCGAUAACUGACGAGGACAAAGCUGACUCUUUCUGAGA
Molecule: small nucleolar RNA, 77 nt
Organism: Carassius auratus (goldfish)
Lineage: Eukaryota; Metazoa; Chordata; Actinopteri; Cypriniformes; Cyprinidae
Product: small nucleolar RNA SNORD49
Source: Ensembl